UACAGAGGAUGCAAGCGUUAUCCGGAAUGAUUGGGCGUAAAGCGUCUGUAGGUGGCUUUUUAAGUCCGCCGUCAAAUCCCAGGGCUCAACUCUGGACAGGCGGUGGAAACUACCAAGCUGGAGUACGGUAGGGGCAGAGGGAAUUUCCGGUGGAGCGGUGAAAUGCGUAGAUAUUGGGAAGAACACCGGUGGCGAAGGCGGCUCACUGGCUCAUUACUGACGCUCAGGCGCGAUAGCGUGGGGAUCAAACAGG
RNAcentral lists this ribosomal RNA (253 nucleotides) under uncultured bacterium. Its description in RNAcentral is "partial 16S ribosomal RNA". It matches the Rfam family "Bacterial small subunit ribosomal RNA", at positions 524 to 776 of the family's 1533-position model. The record is from RNAcentral.